This 16825-nucleotide long non-coding RNA is filed under the name Arabidopsis lyrata. RNAcentral describes it as "long non-coding RNA (ALYR_LNC001559)". Lineage: Eukaryota; Viridiplantae; Streptophyta; Magnoliopsida; Brassicales; Brassicaceae. The record is from RNAcentral.
CGGCCGCCCCCAAACGGUAACAGCUCAAAAUGCUGUCCUUUUGCAUCAAUGUUAUUAUCCAUAAACCUCUCUGGGAGAAACACUUCAGGGUCUUUCCAGGUAUCGGGAUCACGCCCGAUAGCCCAUACAUUUACAUGAAGCCGUGUCUUGACAGGAAUUGUGUAGCCGUUGAUCUCGAAUUCAGACAUUGCUUCUCUUGGGAGGAGGAUAGGUGUUGGAGGGUGUAACCUCCACGUUUCUUUGAUCACCAUUUUGAGGUACUCAAGCUGAUCUGUGUCAUGGAAGCUGAUUCUUUCUUUGUUCUUGAUUUGGCUUCUGAUUUCAGAUUGAACUUUUUUCAUCACUCGUGGAUUCUUCGCGAGUUCUGCCAUCGCCCAUGUCAUGGUUAUUGCAGAAGUAUCGAUUCCUGCUAGCAGAACAUUCUGUAACAAGAACAUAUCAACAUUAAAUUUCAAAAUUUUCCUACAAUUGGAUUGUGAAUCUAUGGUUAGUUUACCAUCAAGAUUGCUUUGAUAUGGUUUCUAGUGAGCUUGUCAUUUCCAAGAACAGCUUCUUCUUUCUCCAACCUCAACAACAAGUCCACGAAGUCUUCACUACCUUCUUCCUUGUCCUGUUUAUGGAGAUCAAACAUUUGUUCAUAAAAGGCAUCAAGAUCUCUCAUGCUUGUCUCUCUCCGACCUCGCAAACCUGUAAGCCUGUCAAUGAUCCAUCCGACAUACGGAAUGAAAUCUGAAGCAGAAAAGCUUCCCAACAUCUCGAGCGCCUCACGGACUAUUUUAUUGAAUCUGUCACUGUUGAGGACAGUACCCUCAAAAUUCACACUAAACGCUGUCCUGCAUACUACACUUACAGUUAAAGCAAGAAAUGUCUUGUUCAAGUUAACCGGAGACUUCUGAGAGGCUGAUUCUGCGAUUGAAUAGAUCAGUUUCUUGACCUCCUCAUCCUUCAUGGGUUGAAUCGAGUGAACUUGUUUAGCAUUGAAGAGUUCCUGAACAGCGAGCUUCCUUACUUCUUUCCAGUAAUCAUCAUAAGGUGAGAAAGCUAUGUCCAGAUAGUUGUAAGAGAGCUCUCUUGGCCCUAAAGAAUGAAUCAAGAUUCAAGAAAUUCAAAAUUCAAGAUUCAAUAUUAUAAAAAGUGUUGAUCAAACUUGAUGAAACAUAAAGGCUUGAGGCCCAAGAAACUUAUAAACAAGUCGGUUUAUAAGUCGGUGUAUUUGUGAUCUUAUCUUAAAUGUGUUUAGGGUUAUGUUUUAGUAUAAAUAGAGGUGCCAAGUUUGUGGCUAACCCUAUGAGUUGUUUUGAGAUUAAGAAAGAUUGUGUAACCUUUGUUUUGAGUUAGUUUCAAAGGUAAUAAGAGGAGUGGUUCUUAUAAACACAAAGUCUUGAUCAUUAGGGUUUGAUUCUUAGUUCUUAAUUCAAUAAAAAGGUGAGAAAGCAAUCAAUCAAGAUUCAAGAUUCAGGAUUCAAGAUUCAAGAUUCAAGAUUCAAGAUUCAAGAUUCAAGGGUUUUGUUGAACAGAGGAACAGAAAUUUUAAAUUGUAGUACCUGCCAUGCCCGGACGACUACAACAAUGGAGGUCAUGGAUUUUCAAAGCUUGUUUUGCUGUUUCGGAGGUAGAAACUAUGACUGUUGGCACACUUCCAAGCUUCAAAAGCAUCACAGGAUCAUACUUUUUGGAGAGACUCCAUAGAGACUGAUGUGGUAAUUCUCCAAGCUGAUGCAAGUUUCCGAUGAUCGGAAAGCCUGGUGGAGACGGUGGUGUCCGUUGGUAAUUCCUCCGCUUCUUGUGGUUGAACACGGCUACAAUAAUACAGAUGAAGAAGAAAAGUGAGAGAAGCCAAAUGUUAGGCAUUUCUUAUUCUAUUGCAGCUAAAGGAACUCCAUAAGGGGUCGUCUAUAUUAUAUUACUGUCUUCAAUUAUUUUAAAUAUAUAUUCUCUGUAACGUUAACUUAAUUUUAUAUUCAAAAAAACUAUUUUUUGUCUUUGAAAAGUUGGCAGAAGUUAAUUGGAUAAUAUCAAGAACUAACCAUAGAAGACUCGAAGAUUAACUGACACUAUUAAACACUGUUUGGUCAAUGAUUUUUUAUUGUUUUUAAUUUGUUUAAUUUUCAUUCUUCUCUCUCCUUGCCUCUUUCUUGGACGAAGUGCUUCAUCAUGAAAUUGACAUGAACAAAAUUUUUAAUGGAGAAAUAAAAUAAAAUCAGAAUUAAACCAAAUUUCAAUAAACCAUUGUUGUGGAAAAAAGGUGAUCUAAACUCAACAAAUUAUUUAAUUAAGACAAAACAAACUCAACAAAAUCUCUUGCAUUUUUUUUUGAAUACUAGGAGGUUCUGGGCCAAAGCCUGUAAUCUCUCCAGAUCCGAAACCACAUCAUGUAAUAUUAGUUUUCUCCCAAACGUCGCUUGAACCGGCGACCUCUAAGCUUCGCCUAGGGUUUCAACAAAAUCUCUUGCAUUGGAUUGGAAUAAAACAUUGCUAGUUUAAUUCAUAUGGCUCCAUCUGAUUAAAAAGAAGAAGAAGAAGAAGCAAAUUACACACUUCAGUGAUCGUUACUUUUUUGGAUUCAUAUAACAUUGACAUCAUCUUUUAUAGCUAUGCAUAGGGAAAUGAAUUAUUCAUGUUCUUAACAUAUUUUUAAAUAACAUUGACAUCGUUUUAAUAUUUUGUGUAGUGAAACGCUAUAUUCUGAUUUUUAGCCAUUGCGCGAAGAGACGCCUCUAGCCCAUUUGAAAAAUAUUAUGGUCGUCAUUUCUUAUAGCAAAAUGACAUAUUAUUAUUUGUAUAGCUUUGUGUCAACCCAACAUUUUUCUUCUUCUGAGACUUAGCAUGCUUUAAAUCUAGUGCUUCUCCGACUUUUUAUACUAAAUUUAUUUGACCAAAUAGUGAAUUUGUAAGCGUCUUUUUCUGCUUGGAUCAUGGUACUGAUUUACACGUCCAUAUAAGAUAAUAGAUUCAAAAUUUCAAACACAUUUUCUUGUUAGGUCUUAGCUUGAUGUUCAAUGUUUGUGAACAAAUCUUGUGAAAGAGAAAAAAUGAAGAGUUGCAACCAUGUGAUCAUACAAGACCAUCUCAUCUGGGAACCAAAUUCAACCGAUUAGAAUCUUGAGAGCGCAAAUUACAAAAUCGUAAUGCGUUAAUCAGUUGUUUUAAAAAGAAGAUGUUCUUUUAUUUUAUUCCGUCUUAUAAAACAUCAAACGAAAAUGAGAUUUUGUUUUGUCUUUUUGUUCCUUGUGAUGAACGUUAGCUUAAGGAUCUAGAUACUUCGUGGGGACAAGUAGAAGCUCGUUUUUCUUGUUGACAGUGAGUCCGGGAGCUUCUUCCAUGUCGAUAUCUUCAACCUUCAUGCCUUCUGGUAACUUCCAGUCAAAAUGAUACAACAGAUUAGCCAGACCAAACUCUACCAGUGUUGUCCCCAUAUAAACGGCAGGACACAUUCUCCGGCCGCCCCCAAACGGUAACAGCUCAAAAUGCUGUCCUUUUGCAUCAAUGUUACUAUCCAUAAACCUCUCUGGAAGAAACACUUCAGGGUCUUUCCAGGUAUUGGGAUCACGCCCGAUAGCCCAGACAUUUACAUGAAGCCGUGUCUUGACAGGAAUCGUGUAGCCGUUGAUCUCAAAUUCAGACAUUGCUUCUCUUGGGAGCAAAAGAGGUGUUGUAGGAUGUAAUCUCCAUGUUUCUUUGAUAACCAUUUUGAGGUACUCGAGCUGAUCUGUGUCAUGGAAGCUGAUUCUUUCUUUGUUCUUGAUUUGGCUUCUGAUUUCAGAUUGAACUUUUUUCAUCACUCGCGGAUUCUUCGCGAGUUCUGCCAUCGCCCAUGUCAUGGUUAUUGCAGAAGUAUCGAUUCCUGCUAGCAGAACAUUCUGUAACAAGAACAUAUAAACAUUAAAUUUUCAAAUUUUUCUUACUAUUGAAUUGUGAAUCUAUGAUUUAGUUACCAUCAAGAUUGCUUUGAUAUGGUUUCUAGUGAGCUUGUCAUUUCCAAGAACAGCUUCUUCUUUCUCCAACCUCAACAGCAAGUCCACAAAGUCUUCGCUACCAUCUUCCUUUUCUUGUUUAUGCAGAUCAAACAUUUGUUCAUAGAAGGCAUCAAGAUCUCUCAUGCUUCUCUCUCUCCGUCCUCGCAAACCUGUAAGCCUGUCGAUGAUCCACCCGACAUACGGAAUGAAAUCUGAGGCAGAAAAGCUUCCCAACAUCUCGAGCGCCUCACGGACUAUUUUAUUGAAUCUGUCACUAUUGAGCACAGUUCCUUCAAAAUUGACACUAAACGCUGUCCUGCAUACCACACUAACAGUUAAUGCAAGAAAUGUCUUGUUCAAGUUGAUCGGAGUCUUAUGAGAAGCUGAAUCCGUGAUUGAAUAGAUCAGUUUCUUGACCUCCUCGUCCUUCAUGGGUUGAAUCGAGUGAACUUGUUUAGUAUUGAAGAGUUCUUGAACAGCGAGCUUCCUAACUUCUUUCCAAUAAUCAUCAUAAGGAGAGAAAGCAAUGUCCAGAUAGUUGUAAGAGAGCUCUCUUGGCCCUAAAGAAUGAACCAAGAUUCAAGAUUCAAGAAAAUUUCAAAAUUCAAAAUUCAAGAAAAUUCAUAAUUCAAGAUUCAAGAAAAUUCAUAAUUCAAGAUUCAAGAUUCAAUAUUAUCAAAAGGUGAGAAAGCAAUCAAUCAAGAUUCAAGAUUCAAGAAGAUUCAAGAUUAAAGACUUAAGGGUUUUGUUGGAACAGAUAAACAAAUAUGUAAAUUUAGUACCUGCCAAGCCUGGACGACUACAACAAUGGAGGUCAUGUAUUUUCAAAGCUUGUUUUGCUGUUUCGGAGGAAGAAACUAUGACUGUUGGGACUCUUCCAAGCUUCAAAAGCAUCACCGGACCAUACUUUUUGGAGAGUCUCCAUAGAGACUGAUGUGGUAAUUCUCCGAGCUGAUGCAGGUUUCCGAUGAUCGGAAAGCCAGGAGGAGACGGUGGUGUCCGUUGAUAACUCCUCCGCUUCUUGUGGUUGAAAACGGCUACAAGAAUACAGAUGACGAAGAGAAGUGACAGAAGCCAAAUGAUAGGCAUUUCUUCUUAUUUUAUUGCAGCUAAAGCAACUCCAUAAGUGUCGUUUAUAUAGUACAAUAGUACAUUGCUGUCUUCAAUUAUUUUAAAUAUAUAUUCUCUGUAACGUUAACUUAGUUUUAUAUUCGAAAGAAAUAUCUUUUGUCCUUGAAAAGUUUGUAAAAGUUAAUUAGUGUACUCUAAAACAAAUAAUACAUACGUAAUUUACAUGGUUUUAUUUAUUAAAACUACCCACGUUAUUUAUGUUUAUUGGAAAUUUUAAAUAAAAAACUUUACAGCAAUAGAGAAAUUAUUAAAAAUAAAAAACUAUGCCAGAGAGAUAAAGAGAAACACCGUUGACGAAGUCAAACACGAACAACGACCGUCGAUUUGAGUCAGCUCUAAUCUCAACCACACGAUCUUCUCAUCUCUGGCACAAGUAGGAGUUCAUUUUUCUUGUUCACAGUGAGUCCAGGAGCUUCGUCCAUGUCGAUAUCUUCGACCGUCGUGCCUUCUGGUAACUUCCAAUCAAAAUGAUACAAGAGAUUAGCUAGACCAAACUCCACCAUUGUUGUCCCCAUGUAUAUUGCAGGACAGAUUCUCCGACCGCCACCAAACGGUAACAACUCAAAGUUCUGUCCCUUUGCAUCAAUGUUAUUAUCCAUAAACCUCUCCGGGAGAAACACUUCAGAGUCUUUCCAAGUAUCAGGAUCACGACCAAUAGCCCAAACAUUCACAUGAAGCCGAGUCUUGACAGGAAUCGUGUAGCCGUUGAUCUCAAAUUCAGACAUUGCUUCUCUUGGAAGCAGAAGUGGUGUUGUAGGAUGUAAUCUCCAUGUUUCUUUGAUCACCAUUUUCAAGUACUCGAGCUGAUCUGUGUCUUCGAAGCUGAUCAUUGAUCUGUUGUUCCCCAUUUGAGUUCUUAUUUCAGAUUGAACUUUCUUCAUCACUCGUGGGUUUCUUGCAAGCUCUGUCAUUGCCCAUGUCAUUGUUAUCGCAGAAGUAUCGAUUCCCGCAAGAAGAACAUCCUGUGUCAUUCAAAACAUAUCAGAAUCUUUGCUACUACUACUACUACUACAUAAAGGAUUGCUAGCUAAAUCUUGUUUUAGUUACCAGCAAGAUUGCUUUGAUAUGGUUUCUUGUGAGUUUAUCAUUUCCAAGAACUGCUUCUUCUUUCUCCAACCUUAAGAGCAAGUCCACAAAAUCUUCACUCCCCUGUUUCUUUCCCUGUUUAUGAAGAUCAAACAUUUGUUCAAUGAAUGCAUUGAGAUCUCUCUUGCUUCUUUCUCUCCUUCCAUGCAAACCCGUCAACAAAUCGAUGAUCCAUCCGACAUACGGAAUGAAAUCCGAGGCAGAAAAGCUUCCCAACAUCUCGAGCGCCUCCCGGACUAUUUUAUUGAAUCUGUCAUUGUUGAGUACAGUUCCUUCAAAACUCACCCCAAAAGCUGUCCUGCAUACUACACUUACAGUUAGAGCAAGACACUUAUUGUUCAAGUUAACUGGAGUCUUCUGAGAAGCUGAUUCGGCGAUCGAAUCGAUCAGUUUCUUGACCUCCUCGUCCUUAAUCGGUUGAAUCGAGUGAACUUGUUUAGUACUGAAUAGUUCUUGAACACAGAGCUUCCUUACUUCUUUCCAAUAAUCAUCAAAAGGUGAGAAAGCAAUGUCUAGAUAGUUGUAAGAAAGCUCUCUUGGUCCUAAAUAACGAUCAAGAUUCAAGAUUCAAGAUUCAUGGGGUUUCUUGAAUUCUAUGAAACAGAGGAACAGAAAUUGAAACUAUAGUACCUGUCAAGCUUGGACGAGUACAACAAAGGAGAUCAUGAACUCUCAGAACUUGUCUUGCUGUAUCCGAGGAAGAAACAACGACUGUUGGGACUCUUCCAAGCAUCAAAUGCAUCACCGGACCAUACUUCUUUGAGAGUUUCCAUAGAGACUGAUGUGGUAAUUCUCCGAUCUGGUGUAAGUUUCCGAUGAUUGGAAAGCCAGGAGGAGACGGUAACUGCCGAUAUUCCCGAUGUUUCUUGUGGUUGAAAACGGCGAAAAGAAUACAGACGAGGAAGAUAAGUGGAAGAAGCCAAAUGUAAGCCAUUUCUGAUUUGAUGGCCGAUGAAGGGAAGGCUCUCUUGAGUUAAGCUUGAAGAGUUAGUUAACUUGAGGGAUGAGUUAACAAAAUAAAAGGAUAUAGUUUAAGAGAUUUGGAAGUUAUCCAAAAGUGUUUAGGAGUUAUCUAAAUGCUAAACCUAGUUAGACUUAGAUUAGGUCUUUAGGUUUUCUAUAUAAAGAGAUACCAAAGUUGUGGUAAUCCUUAAGAGUUGUUUUUGAGUUUAAGAGUUUGAGAAAGAGAGAUUGUAAGAUUGAGAGCUUGAGAUUAAUAAAGAGAGUUAUUCUUUAUUCUUGUGUUCUUAAACUUGUUUGAUUCAAUAAUUGGUAUCAGAGCAAGAACGUGAAAGCAAUUCACGAUGUCAGAUUCGUCAGGAGAAGAAGAUGAGAAACCAAACACGAAAACACCUUCAAAAGAAAUCGGAUCCUCUGCCAUAAAGUAUCCGAUGCUUACUUCCUCCAAUUACACUGUUUGGGCUAUGCGGAUGAGAAUUGCGCUUAGGGUAAAUAAGGUGUGGAAGACCAUAGAUCCGGGAGAUCCAGAUGAAGAGAAGAACGAUGUGGCAAUAGCCUUAUUGUUCCAAUCCAUACCAGAAGCCUUGAUCUUACAAGUUGGAGACCACAACACUGCAAAAGAAACUUGGGACGCAAUAAAAGGAAGACAUGUUGGAGCUGAAAGAGUUCGAGAAGCUAGGUUACAAACUUUGAUGGCGGAAUUUGAUAGAAUCAAGAUGAAGGAGACAGAUUCAAUAGAUGCUUUUUCAGGAAAACUUUCGGAGAUCUCCUCUACUGCAGCAUCCCUUGGAGAAACCAUUGAAGAACCGAAACUUGUGAAAAAGUUUCUCAAAAGUUUACCUAGGAAGAGAUAUAUACAAAUCACUGCAGCUCUUGAAUAGGUUCUUGACCUGAACAAAACAACUUUCGAAGACAUUGUUGGACGAUUAAAAGUGUAUGAAGAAAGGAUUGUUGAUGAAGAAGAAGAGCAACACGAAGAUCAUAAUAAGCUGAUGUAUGCGAGUACGGACUCACAAGCAACCUAUACUGAAGGAUACAGAGGAAGAGGCAGAGGAGGUCGGUUUAAUUGGUGAGGUAGAGGCCGCGGGCGUUUUAACAACUAUCAAAACGGAUCAUACAGACAAAAGGAAAGAGAUGCGUCAAUGAUAACUUGUUACCGAUGUGAUAAAUUAGGGCAUUAUGCAUCGGAUUGUCCCGAUAGGUUGCUUAAGCUACAAGAAACUGUUGAAAAGAAGGAUGAUGCAACACAUGAAGCUGAGGAAUUAAUGAUGCAUGAGGUGGUUUAUCUUAAUGAAAACAAGGUAAAGCCAAGUUGCUUUGAAGCUGACCUAGACUCAACUAAUGUGUGGUAUCUCGAUAAUGGUGCGAGUAACCACAUGAGUGGGAAUCGAUCCUUCUUCUUAGAUCUUGAUGAGACAAUCGUGGGAAAGGUACGUUUUGGAGAUGAUUCACGCAUUAAUAUCAGAGGAAAAGGAUCAAUUCAGUUUGCAUUCGAAGAUAGUAAUAAAAAGGUACUCAAAGUCUUGAAGAACAUAUACUAUAUACCCGAUCUCAAGAGUAAUAUAGUAAGUCUUGGUCAAGCCACAGAAGCAGGAUGUGAGGUACGUAUGAAGGAAGAGUUCUUGACACUCUAUGACCGGUCUGGACACUUACUGGUAAAGACUACAAGAUCAAGAAAUCGUUUAUACAAAGUAACUUUACAUGUGGAGAAUCCAAAUUGUCUACAAUUGAUCACAUCGACCGAGUCUAACUUGUGGCACUCACGGUUAGGACACACUAAUCUGGAGACAAUGAAGAAGAUGAUCAACAAAGAACUUGUGACCGGUGUACCAAAGCUUAUAGUUGAAAAAGAAACUUGUGUGUCGUGUUUACUUGGAAAACAGACUAGAAAAUCCUUUCCCCAAGCAACCACCUAUCGAGCUGAUCAAAGACUUGAGCUUAUCCAUGGGGACCUUUGUGGACCUAUCACACCUUCCACUCCGGCUCAGAAACGGUAUGUCUUUGUCCUCAUUGAUGAUCACUCCCGUUACAUGUGGACAAUCCUCUUGAGAAAGAAGAGUGAGGCUUUUGAAAAGUUCAAGAAAUUCAAAGUACGUGUGGAACAAGAAACAAGAGAAAAAAUCAAGACACUACGUACGAAUAGAGGAGGAGAAUUUGUGUCAAAUGAAUUUCAAGCCUACUGUGAUGAGCAUGGAAUCAUGAGACACUUGACUGCGCCCUACUCUCCUCAGCAAAAUGGUGUUGUUGAGAGACGUAAUAGGACUCUCUUGGAGAUGACUAGGAGUAUUCUAAAGCACACGGGUUUACCAAAUUUUCUAUGGGGAGAGGCUGUUAGACAUUCUACCUAUUUGAUCAAUAGGAUUGCAACAAGAUCUUUGGUACAAUCAACCCCAUAUAAAGCGUUUAAUGGGAGAAAACCAAAUCUUGAGCAUCUUAGGGUAUUUGGUUGUGUUUGUUAUGCAAGAACAGAAGCUGUGGGAAGAAAGAAACUUGAUGACAGGUCAAGAACAUUGAUACAUUUAGGAACAGAGCCCGGGACCAAAGCAUAUCGAUUGUUUGAUUCUGAAACCAAAAGGAUAGUGGUGAGCCGUGAUGUCAUAUUUGAUGAGAGUAAAGGGUGGAGCUGGAAAAAUAAAGAAAGAGAGGAUCACAAAGAGUCUGAGACAUUCUCUAUUAGCUUGGGAGAGUUUGGUAACAAAGGCUUAAGAGAAACUGAUACUCUUGAAACAGAGGAAGACACGCGGAUUACUCAAACUACAAGUGAAAGUAUCGUAGAAGUGGAAGACGAUACAGAGGAAGAAGAAGAUAGUGAAGCUAUGAACAAUGAAGAUGGUGAUGAUGAAAGUGAACAAGCACCACAACCGCAGCUUAGAAGAUCGGGUAGAACCAUUGUGAAGUCGGCAUAUCUAAAUGACUAUGUUCUUAUGGCUGAAACAGAGUGUGAAAGACUCUUGACAGUGAUCAACGAUGAACCGUGGGAUUUUAACGAAGCCAGAGAACUCAAAGUAUGGACAGACGCAUGCAAAGAAGAGCUUUCAUCGAUAGAAAAGAACAAAACAUGGAACUUGGUUAGUCUUCCCAUUGGUGUUAAGGCAAUUGGCUUGAAAUGGGUCUUUAAAAUUAAAAGGAACGCCGAUGGAAGUAUUAACAAGCACAAGGCACGACUCGUAGCCAAAGGAUAUGUUCAGAGACAUGGCAUUGAUUUUGAUGAAGUGUUUGCUCCAGUGGCACGUAUUGAAACUAUUCGCUUUAUCAUCGCAUUGGCGGCUUCUAAUGGUUGGGAAAUACAUCACCUGGAUGUUAAAACCGCGUUCUUGCACGGUGAGUUGAAAAAAGAAGUCUAUGUUAGUCAACCAGAGGGAUUUGUAGUCUUGGGAAGUGAAAACAAAGUUUAUAAGUUGAAUAAAGCUCUUUACGGCUUAAGACAAGCACCUAGAGCUUGGAAUGACAAGUUAAAUGCUAUCCUCAGAGAAUUCAAGUUUCAUAGGUGUUCUAAAGAACCGUCAUUGUAUCAAAGAGAAGAGAAAGGACAUUUACUUGUCGUGGCCGUGUAUGUAGAUGAUCUACUUGUUGCAGGAUCUUCCUUGAAGUUGAUACGAGAGUUUAAAAGAGAAAUGGGAACCAAGUUUGAGAUGAGUGAUCUUGGUAAGCUGACAUACUAUCUUGGAAUCGAAGUGCAUCAACAUGAGAAUGGUAUUAGUCUAAAGCAAGAGAGGUAUGCAUCAAAAAUACUAGGAGAAGCAGGGAUGGAAAGUUGUAAUCUCUCACAUAUCCCAAUGGAGAUGAACCUACAACUCUCUAAAUCUCAGAGUGAGAAGAGUAUCAGUGAAAAAGAUUACAGAAGAAGCAUAGGAUGCCUCCGGUACUUGAUACACACACGCCCGGAUCUAUCUUACAGUGUUGGAGUCUUAAGUAGAUAUAUGCAGGAGCCUAAAGAGUCACAUGGUGCAGCCUUAAAGCAAGUCUUGAGAUAUGUACGUGGAACCACUUCACUUGGCCUUUUCUUCAAGCGGACAGAAAAGGUGAAGCUGGUAGGUUAUAGUGAUAGCUCACAUAAUGUUGAUUUGGACGAUGGAAGAAGCACAACAGGCCAUGUAUUCUUUCUUGAUGAUUGUCUGAUUACUUGGUGCUCACAAAAGCAAGACACAGUCGCAAUGUCUUCAUGUGAAGCAGAAUUCAUGGCGGCUACGGAAGCAGCAAAACAAGCUAUAUGGCUCAAGGAAUUGAUGAGUGAAAUAUUAAGCAUCAAAGGCGAGAAAGUUUUGUUGAGGAUUGACAACAAGUCAGCUAUAGCUUUGACUAAGAAUCCGGUGUUUCAUGGGAGAAGCAAACACAUUCAUAGAAGGUACCAUUUCAUUAGAGAGUGUGUGGAAAAUGAGCAAGUGGAGGUAGAACAUGUUCCCGGUAAUGAGCAAAGGGCGGAUAUUCUAACCAAACCACUUGGAAGAAUAAAAUUUAAGGAGAUGAGAAGUCUCAUUGGAGUUCAAGAUGUGAAGAAGGAUAACUUUAAGCUUAAGGGGGAGAAUGUUGAGUUAAGCUUGAAGAGUUAGUUAACUUGAGGGAUGAGUUAACAAAAUAAAAGGAUAUAGUUUAAGAGAUUUGGAAGUUAUCCAAAAGUGUUUAGGAGUUAUCUAAAUGCUAAACCUAGUUAGACUUAGAUUAGGUCUUUAGGUUUUUUAUAUAAAGAGAUACCAAAGUUGUGGUAAUCCUUAAGAGUUGUUUUUGAGUUUAAGAGUUUGAGAAAGAGAGAUUGUAAGAUUGAGAGCUUGAGAUUAAUAAAGAGAGUUAUUCUUUAUUCUUGUGUUCUUAAACUUGUUUGAUUCAAUAGGCUCUACAAAUGUAUAUGCACAUUUCUGUCUUCAAUUAUUUUCUUACUGUGGGUAAUCCCGCAACGUGUACAUAAUAUUCAUUUUAAAUAAUUUUAUUAAAAUAAUACUAUUUGAUGAAGAAAAAGUACUUGCAAAUGUUUAUGAUCCUGAUGAAGAAGAAGAAGAAGAAGAAGAUGUAAUGGAAGUAGAAGAGGUAGAGCGUAGAGUUUCUCCAGAGCCUUCCAUACCCCCUGAGGCAGAGGCAGAGAGUAGUACCUGUUUCGUCCUUCCCGAAAAGGUUGGUACAUGCGUCUUCUGGGACGUCCAGGAUUACCCAGUUCCUCUAGGUCUGCAGCCUGAAACGUUUAUUCAGAAUAUCAAGACAGCUCUUGGAACAGAGGAUGACAUCUUAAUCUUGGCUUAUGUUGCUGAUGAGAAAUCUUUCCCGGAUAGCUAUCGUACCCAUUCCAGAUUCACCUCAGUUUCAGCAGACAAAUAUACAAGACUUACUGUGAUGAUGGUGGACAUUAUUUGCUGGGUUGUGAAAAAUCGUUCUGCGUGCCCAAACCUGUUGGUAAUCGCGAAUGCCAGUGUAGAAGAUCGACAAUUCUGGCCAUUUCUUCUAGGUUUGGGAUAUAGAGGUUUCAAUAUUUUUGCAACAAUCCCUGAUACGGACUUACCUGAUGAUAAAACUAAGACGGCGGAAAGGCUUAUGUUUAACAAGUCCUUAUUGUCUUGGAAAAACCUUUCAUGUAAACGAAAGCGUAAGGGCAUAGAGGAUACUGUUUCUAGUUCUGAUGACUAACUUCUGUGCGCAGCAGGUCUCAACUACCCCCUGGUUUGACAACAAUGUUUUAUCAUUUCUAUGUACCUCUGAAAACAUUGAGCUUUCAUCUUUGUUAAACUCUUUCUUCUGUUGAACGCUUUGCUCUGUUAAACUCUUUGUUCUGUUAAACUUUUGCUGUUUUAAAAAAAAAAAAAAAAUUUAUUUUAGAUAAAAAAAUAUCAUAAUUUCAUGAUUAAGUGUAGGUAAAAAAAUUUUGUUCAAGUUUCUCUCUUUAGAUGUGUUUUUGAAGAUAACCAUAAGGUGAGCCCUUCAUCAUAUAUGAGCCAAUACAGAGGAAAAAAAACAGAGAGAGAAGCAGAGCACUCUGUUUAGGAGAGCUAAUGUUUUCUCUGUUGAAACAUGUUGUUUUGUAAGGUUGAGUGGAAUUUAGGAAUUGAUUAGUGACGAGUCAAAGAUCUAUUGAGUAACAAAUGAACAAAACAUUUAGUUUUAUUUAGUACAACCGAUACCAUGAAAAGCUUAUUUUACUUGAUCAAUGAUUUAAAAACUUAACAGGAAGAAGUGAAAGCUCAUUUUUCUUGCUCGCAUUGAGUCCAGGAGAUUCUUCCAUGUCGAUGUCUUCAACCACCUUGCCUUCUGGUAGUUCCCAAUCAAACAGAUACAACAUAUUGGCAAGACCAAACUCCACCAUUGUUGUCCCCAUGUACAUGGCAGGACACAUUCUCCUACCACUUCCAAAUGGUAAUAACUCAAAGUUUUGUCCUUUUGCAUCAAUGCUACUAUUAGCAAACCUCUCUGGAAGAAACUCCUCCGGGUCUUUCCAUGUAUCGGGAUCACGCCCGAUAGCCCAUACAUUAACAUAAAGUCUUGUCUUGGCUGGAAUCGUAUAGCCGUUGAUCUCAAAUUCGGACAUUACUUCUCUUGGGACCAGAAGUGGUGCUGGAGGAUGUAGCCUCCAUGUUUCAUUGAUCACCAUUUUCAGGUAAUGGAGCUGAUCUAUGUCAUCCAAGGUGAUCAUUGACUUGCCCCCAAUUUGAUUUCUGAUUUCGGAUUGAACUUUCUUCAUUACUCGCGGGUUUCUCAUAAGUUCUGUCAUGGCCCAUGUCAUUGUUAUUGCAGAAGUGCCGAUGCCUCCAAGAAGAACAUUCUGUAAUAAGACCAUCAAAAAUUUACAAUCUUCAUGUAUUAUAAUAUAAUCCUAGAAUUUAAAGGCAAAUCUUUGUAUAGUUACCAUUAAGACUGCUUUGAUAUGGUUUCUUGUGAGCUUGCCAUAUCCAAGAACAGUUCCUUCUUUCUCCAACUUCAAGAGCAAGUCCACAAAAUCCUCAACUCCUUCUUUAUUCCCCUGUUUAUGUAAAUCAAACAUUUGUUCAUAGAACGCAUCAAGACCCCUCACACUUCUCUCUCUUUGCCCUUGUAAACCCGUGAGCCAGUCGAUGAUCCAACCGACAUUUGGAAAAUAAUCCGAGGCAGAGAAGCUCCCCAAGAACAAAAAUGCAUCAUGGAUUAACUUGUCGAAGUUGUCACUAUUAAGCACAGUUCCUUGGAAACUAACACCAAAUGCUGACUUGCAUAUCACGCCUACAGUUAAAGAAGCUAACUUCUCACUCAAGUUAACCGGAGUUUUCUGAGCAGCUGAUUCGGAGAAUGAAUUCAUCAGUUUCUUGACUUCCUCGUCUUUUAUGGGUUGAAUCAAGUGAACUCUGUUAACACUGAAGAGUUCUUGGACACAAAUCCUCCUUAAUUCUUUCCAGUAAUCAUUAAAAGGAGAGAAAACUAUGUCCAGAUAGUUGUAAGAGAGCGCUCUUGGUCCUAAAUAAAUCAUUAGGUUUUGUUAAAUCCUAUAAACAAAACUUUUAUAUGGGUUGAGUGAGAGUUACGGUACCUGCUAAGCUUGGACGGCUACAACAAUGGAGGUCAUGGAUUUUCAAAGCUUGUUUUGCUGUUUCAGAGGAAGAAACUACGACCGUAGGGAUACUUCCAAGCUUCAAAAGCAUGACAGGACCAUACUUUUUGGAGAGACUCCAUAGAGAUUGAUGUGGUAAUUCUCCGAGCUGAAGUAAGUUUCCGAUGAUCGGAAAGCCCGGUGGAGACGGUGGUUUCCGUUGAUGUUGCCGCCGCUUCUUGAGUUUUAAAGCGGCAAGAAAAAUACAAGAGAGAAAGAGAAGUGAGAGAAACCAAAUUGUAGCCAUUUGUUGAUUUGAUGACUGAUGAAGCGACAGCUAUAUAAAUAAGCUCAGUGUUGUCUUCAAUUAUUUUCUGACAUUAGCUUUAUUAUUAAACUUUUGAAAAGAAAUAAUAAGUUAACUUCAUUUGCAUGUAUAAAUAAUUAUUUAUAAGAUGAAUAUGGGUGGGCUUGUGCUAUUUAUAGUUUUCUCUAGUGUUUUACGACGGAAAUAUAAAUGGUUUAUAUUUAUAUAAAUAGUUUAUUUGAGUAACUAAACAAAAUAUUUUAGUUGAGUAACCAAAAAUAGUAAAAUACACAUCUAGAUGAAGUUUUGGUCACAAAAUUUCAGGUGAAAAGAGAUCAUCAAACUACUCUAGCUACCAAUAGUAUACCUCCUUGAUUGAUUUCUUCUAUACAAACAAUUCAACAUCGUUUAAUUAAUCUCUAUAUGUUGAAAAAAAUAACAAUUCGAAAUCGUUAAUAAAAGUAUUAUUUCAGAAGAAAAAUGAUAAAUAGAGAACUGGUUAGGUAAUCCAAGAGAUUCUGACAAUCACAUGAAUCACAUGAAUCACAAGAUAUUAUAUGUCGGGUACCCUUAUAUGUCAUCAUAUUUUCUUCUUUAUUCCCAUAAAAAAUUUAGUGGGAUAAAUAAUAUUGAAUCAUAAUGAAAAAAUACGUCAUGAUAUUGUUUUCUAGUUAGCUACUUUUUUCUAAAAUUUAACUACUAUCAUAGAACUUAUACUUUAUAAUGAAUCAAUUACAGAUUUUGCCAUCUUUAUAAAGUUGCAUUUGUUGAUUAUACUAUUUUUUGAAUAGUUUGUGAAUUUAUAGAAAAUGUGUGUUUCUAUCUAUGUAACGUCAAAGUUCAUUAUUAAUCUACUAAAUCAAAUUUUAGUUUGUACAUUUUUAAUUUUAGUUUAGUACAAUAUGUUUAGAAUUUUUUUCUAGUGUUUUUAAUUUUAAUAAGAAUAUAACUUAUUAAAUUAUUUCAUGAAAAUAUAAAUUUAUAGAUUUAAAAAAAUUGAAAAUAAUUUAGUUGAAAUAUAAUAAAAUCUAAAAAAAUAUUAUUAAGAUGAAAACAUAUAUAGGUUUAGUUAUUUUGAUACAACAUACAUCCAGAAACAAAUGCAAAUUAUUAAACACUAAACGAAAAAAAUCUUCAUUUAGAUGUUCUAUAUAUCCAGAUGCACUAUAAAAUUUUUUUUUUUUUUUUAUAACCCAGGUAUCCGGGCCGAAGCCCGACUAGCACCAAGGCUUGAGGCCGGUUUCUUUUUGGGCUGUCCGAACCCAACGAUCAGUUUGUUUCCUGGAGGCCUGCAACCGCCAUAUAAAUACCGCAGUGGCCAACGCUAGCCCUCGAACUGCGGGCAGCAUAUUGGGAUUACCCCCUCAAGUGCCACUAGCCUAACCCACGUUCGUUAUGCACUAUAAAUUCGUAAACGAACAACAUCAUAUGCAUCAGGAUAGAUCAUAUGAAUCCAAAUGUACAAACGAACAGUACCUUAUAUGAAAGGUGUUUUAUAUUAACGCUAGUAGUUAUGGUCGGUUCUAAUCUGUUAUUUUAAGCAAAAUAAAAAGAUUAUAAUUUAUAUAUAUGAAAUAUUGAAAGCAACAAAGAACAUUGUUGGAUUGAAACGACGAGAGACAAUGGAACACAAGAUUAUAGUUUUACUUAUGUAGAAUCGAUGCUACAUUUAAUUUUAUAAUCUCAUGAGUAACUUAGUUUAAGUGAUCAAUGACCUAAAUACUUGACGGGAACAAGCAGAAGCUCAUUUUUUUUGCCCACAGCGAGUCCAGGAGAUUCUUCCAUGUCAAUAUCUUCGACCACCAUACCUUCUGGUAAUUCCCAAUCAAACUGAUAUAGCAUAUUCGCCAGACCAAACUCCACCAUUGUUGUCCCCAUGUACAUUCCAGGACAGAUUCUCCGGCC